UGGUUCUGGCAUCGAUGAAGAACGCAGCGAAAUGCGAUAAGUAAUGUGAAUUGCAGAAUUUUGUGAAUCAUCGAAUCUUUGAACGCACAUUGCACCUUUUGGUAUUCCGAAAGGUAUGCCUGUUCGAGCGUCGUUUGAAUAUAUUAUUAAUUUAUUUGUUCACACUCAUAAAUUGAUGUCUUGGAGUAUAUUUGUUUAGACAAAUAUCUCCCAAAAGAAUUGAUAGCGAUCUGGAAUAAGAUUUAUAUUGAAACGCAUUAAAUUUAUUCGUUUGCAAAUAAGAUCUAUAUCCAGGCAGCCAAAUUAAAAUAAAUAAAAUAAUUAAUUAAAUAGAAUAGUUGCUAAUAGCAUCAUUUUAUUUAUUUUAAUUAUUUUAUUUACCUCCAAUAAAUCGACCUCGGAUCAAGCAAGAAUACCCGCUGA
This 423-nucleotide unclassified non-coding RNA is filed under the name uncultured fungus. RNAcentral describes it as "partial contains 5.8S ribosomal RNA and internal transcribed spacer 2". The stretch from base 1 to 133 matches the Rfam family "5.8S ribosomal RNA", at positions 22 to 154 of the family's 154-position model. The record is from RNAcentral. Lineage: Eukaryota; Fungi.